This 591-nucleotide ribosomal RNA is filed under the name uncultured bacterium. RNAcentral's name for it is "bacterial SSU rRNA". It matches the Rfam family "Bacterial small subunit ribosomal RNA", at positions 63 to 650 of the family's 1533-position model. The record is from RNAcentral.
CGAGCGGCAGCGCGGGGCAACCUGGCGGCGAGCGGCGAACGGGUGAGUAAUGCAUCGGAACAUGUCCAUGUCGUGGGGGAUAGCCCGGCGAAAGCCGGAUUAAUACCGCAUACGCCCGAGAGGGGAAAGUGGGGGACCGCAAGGCCUCACGCGAUUGGGUUGGCCGAUGUCCGAUUAGCUAGUUGGUGGGGUAAAGGCCCACCAAGGCGAUGAUCGGUAGCUGGUCUGAGAGGAUGAUCAGCCACACUGGGACUGAGACACGGCCCAGACUCCUACGGGAGGCAGCAGUGGGGAAUUUUGGACAAUGGGGGCAACCCUGAUCCAGCCAUUCCGCGUGAGUGAAGAAGGCCUUCGGGUUGUAAAGCUCUUUUGUCCGGAACGAAACGGUUAGCGUGAAUAGCGGUGACUACUGACGGUACCGGAAGAAUAAGCACCGGCUAACUACGUGCCAGCAGCCGCGGUAAUACGUAGGGUGCGAGCGUUAAUCGGAAUUACUGGGCGUAAAGCGUGCGCAGGCGGUUUUGUAAGCCAGAUGUGAAAUCCCCGGGCUUAACCUGGGAAUGGCAUUUGGGACUGCAAGGCUGGAGUGCG